Molecule: transfer RNA, 71 nt
Filed under: Minisyncoccota bacterium
Lineage: Bacteria; Bacillati; Minisyncoccota
Description: tRNA-Met
Rfam family: tRNA
About the family: Transfer RNA (tRNA) molecules are approximately 80 nucleotides in length. Their secondary structure includes four short double-helical elements and three loops (D, anti-codon, and T loops).
Source: RNAcentral
CGCGGAGUUGAGUAAUGGCAGCUCGAGAGGCUCAUAACCUCUAGGAGUAGGUUCGAUUCCUACCUCCGCAA